This 253-nucleotide ribosomal RNA is filed under the name uncultured bacterium. RNAcentral describes it as "partial 16S ribosomal RNA". It matches the Rfam family "Bacterial small subunit ribosomal RNA", at positions 524 to 776 of the family's 1533-position model. RNAcentral also lists the same sequence under 1 other name. The record is from RNAcentral.
UACGAAGGGGGCUAGCGUUGUUCGGAAUUACUGGGCGUAAAGCGCACGUAGGCGGACAUUUAAGUCAGGGGUGAAAUCCCGGGGCUCAACCCCGGAACUGCCUUUGAUACUGGGUGUCUGGAGUCCGGAAGAGGUGAGUGGAAUUCCGAGUGUAGAGGUGAAAUUCGUAGAUAUUCGGAGGAACACCAGUGGCGAAGGCGGCUCACUGGUCCGGUACUGACGCUGAGGUGCGAAAGCGUGGGGAGCAAACAGG